This 468-nucleotide ribosomal RNA is filed under the name uncultured bacterium. Its description in RNAcentral is "partial 16S ribosomal RNA". It matches the Rfam family "Bacterial small subunit ribosomal RNA", at positions 28 to 507 of the family's 1533-position model. The record is from RNAcentral.
GACGAACGCUGGCGGCGUGCUUAACACAUGCAAGUCGAACGGAAAGGCCCUGCUUGUUUGGGGUGCUCGAGUGGCGAACGGGUGUGUAACACGUGAGUAACCUGCCCUUGACUGUGGGAUAACUUCAGGAAACUGGGGCUAAUACCGUAUAGGAGCUCCUGCUGCAUUGUGGGGGGUGGAAAGUUUCGGCGGUUGGGGAUGGACUCGCGGCUUAUCAGCUUGUUGGUGGGGUAGUGGCUUACCAAGGCUUUGACGGGUAGCCGGCCUGAGAGGGUGACCGGCCACACUGGGACUGAGAUACGGCCCAGACUCCUACGGGAGGCAGCAGUGGGGAAUAUUGCACAAUGGGCGGAAGCCUGAUGCAGCAACGCCGCGUGCGGGAUGACGGCCUUCGGGUUGUAAACCGCUUUCGCCUGUGACGAAGCGUGAGUGACGGUAAUGGGUAAAGAAGCACCGGCUAACUACGUG